UACGAGGGGGGCGAGCGUUGUUCGGAAUUAUUGGGCGUAAAGGGUGCGUAGGCGGUUUGGUAAGUCUUAUGUGAAAUCUAACAGGCUCAACUUGUAGUGCUGCAUGAGAAACUGCCGGGCUUGAGUGUGGGAGAGGUGAGUGGAAUUCCUGGUGUAGCGGUGAAAUGCGUAGAUAUCAGGAGGAACACCUGUGGCGAAAGCGGCUCACUGGACCAUAACUGACGCUGAUGCGCGAAAGCUAGGGGAGCAAACAGG
RNAcentral lists this ribosomal RNA (255 nucleotides) under uncultured bacterium. RNAcentral describes it as "partial 16S ribosomal RNA". It matches the Rfam family "Bacterial small subunit ribosomal RNA", at positions 524 to 776 of the family's 1533-position model. The record is from RNAcentral.